UUAAAAAGCUCGUAGUUGAGCCUUGGGCCUGGCUGGCCGGUCCGCCUCACCGCGUGUACUGGUCCGGCCGGGCCUUUCCCUCUGUGGAACCCCAUGCCCUUCACUGGGUGUGGCGGGGAAACAGGACUUUUACUUUGAAAAAAUUAGAGUGCUCCAGGCAGGCCUAUGCUCGAAUACAUUAGCAUGGAAUAAUAGAAUAGGACGUGUGGUUCUAUUUUGUUGGUUUCUAGGACCGCCGUAAUGAUUAAUAGGGACAGUCGGGGG
This 264-nucleotide ribosomal RNA is filed under the name uncultured Ascomycota. RNAcentral describes it as "partial 18S ribosomal RNA". It matches the Rfam family "Eukaryotic small subunit ribosomal RNA", at positions 619 to 888 of the family's 1831-position model. Lineage: Eukaryota; Fungi; Ascomycota. The record is from RNAcentral.